This is a long non-coding RNA of Zonotrichia leucophrys gambelii, 1531 nucleotides long. RefSeq lists it as uncharacterized. The record is from RefSeq and is a predicted model, not a curated record. The transcript is spliced from 8 exons. NCBI's taxonomy places the organism in Eukaryota, Metazoa, Chordata, Aves, Passeriformes, Passerellidae.
GUGCAAAUGGAAGUGCCUGUCCCCCCUCGGGGUCCCUUCCUAGGCACCCUCAGCCCCAGCAGAGCCAAGUGCUGGUGCUGGUGCCUGGACCCCCUCGGCACCACAGAAGUGUGGGAAGCCUCUGAGGGCCAGGCCCAAGCCCUGGAAUGGGCUGGGUCAUCCUGCCCAGCUGUCCGCCCCUCGGUGGCUCAGGGAGGCACGCCCGGAGGGGAGGGAUCAGUGGGUGCAUAAAUGCAGGGGGUGACUCCCCCUCUUACCUGGUCUCCAUCUGCCCUCAGGUUCUGUAGCAGGCUGAGACUGCACAAGGGAUCUGGGUCUGCAGCAGAGCAGCAAUCUGUGGAUGCCUGAUUGCAGCUGACAGGAGCCUCUCCUCCUUCCCUGGAGUGCUCUGGCAAGUGAGACUUGCAAAUAAAGCAAAGGAUCUGCUGAAUGCACAGCCAUGCAUAAUUUAGGAGUGCUGGAGCCUUCUGCGCAUCUCAUCACAAAAUGGCAUUCAAUUCAGUAGGGAAUAAAUUGCCAGCCAGGCUAACAUAGUGUGCUUGCUUACCUGGCACUGGAGGACAAAGUGACACAUGGUGGCAGCCAGGGUGUGUGUGCCACAGUGCAGUGAUGGAGCAGUGUCUGUGCCCAGCCCUGGCAUGCCCUGUGUCCUGCGUCCUGUGUCCCACUCAGCAGGAGGAGGCACCGUCCUGCCCACGACUGCAGCACCCUGACAACAGGGAUGGACCCCAGAGCGAGCUGCAGCGCCGAGACACGUGGGAGGUGUCGCACACGGUUUGCUCAUCACCCGUUUGCUGCAGAGGCAGCUCGUCGCUUCUCCCUGCAAUGAAAGAGAAGGACAAGGGCACCUCAGAGACAUCAAAGCACAGCAUCCUCUGGGAAAAGGAGAGAUAAAGAGAGAAGAAAAUGUUCCAGAAGUACGGACAAGCAGGAGUUGUGUUCAGCCCCUUUUGGAACAAUAAUCUCCCGAAGGUGUUGGAGCGCUCCAGCAACGCGCAGCGGGAGCAGCCGGGGCUCUGUGCGCAGCGUAAUCUGAUCAUGCUCUGUUUGGAUAAGAAACACAGCUUCAUGCUUUUCACUUGCUAGGAAAGAGAUUUAUUAUGAAAAUCAGCUCCCUGCCUCAGAGCACAUAAAAAACAGUUGGCUUCAUAACCUUGGGGGAAAAAAAUAAAUAAAGAAAUCCCAUGAGACACGCGUGAGAACUGACCCCACUGAUGGUUUAAUGAGGAUGGUGUGUGCCACUCACCUGGAUCAAUAAUUUUUGCACAUUCCUGCCAAGCUCCCACCACAGGCCCUGUCUCAGCCCAGCAAAGAAGACCUUGCCAUGUUUCAGGUGCACCAGAUUUUUCCUUCUUCUCCUCUUAAAGUGCAUAUGUAAUAAAUAUAGCACAGGCCUAGGAGGAUGAAAAGAGAUGAAUCACAGCUAUGAAAAUAUUUGACUAUAUUUUAAGCAGGACUCCCAACAGGUACAAUCAUAGCCAUCUACCCUGACGUGCUUCAGAGGCAUCAAAAGAUGGUUUUUCCACCACUG